GGUAGCAUUCCUCACGGUCAUCGGGUCGCAAGACGCCUGACACGCCAGUGCAACACCGAGAGUCGUUCGGUCAAAGCGCGUUCUGCGCUAGUUCUAAGCAGAUAGGGUUCGAAAACCCAUUGCCCCCAACGUAUUCUGCUUCCCGGAGAUCGGGCAGGCAAUCGAGGGCUGCGACAACUGCACAACGUGUGAGUGCCGCAGAACACGAUCGUCGCCUAGGGGUUCACCCAGAGCCACACCGCACAAACG
This 249-nucleotide unclassified non-coding RNA is filed under the name Coussarea micrococca. RNAcentral describes it as "partial external transcribed spacer". The record is from RNAcentral. Lineage: Eukaryota; Viridiplantae; Streptophyta; Magnoliopsida; Gentianales; Rubiaceae.